CAUGCAAGUCGAGCGGGAAGGGUAGCAAUACCCUGAGAGCGGCGCACGGGUGCGUAACGCGUAUGUAACCUGCCUUAUACAGGGGGAUAGCCCAUGGAAACAUGGAUUAACACCCCAUAGGACUGGAAUUUCGCAUGGGAAUUCAGUUAAAAUUACGGUGGUAUAAGAUGGGCAUGCGUCUGAUUAGGUAGUUGGUAGGGUAACGGCCUACCAAGCCGACGAUCAGUAGGGGUUCUGAGAGGAUUACCCCCCACACUGGUACUGAGACACGGACCAGACUCCUACGGGAGGCAGCAGUGAGGAAUAUUGGUCAAUGGGCGAGAGCCUGAACCAGCCAUCCCGCGUGCAGGAUGACGGCCCUAUGGGUUGUAAACUGCUUUUCUGCUCCAAGAAACCCUGUUACGUGUAACAGGUUGACGGUAGAGUAGGAAUAAGCAUCGGCUAACUCCGUGCCAGCAGCCGCGGUAAUACGGAGGAUGCAAGCGUUAUCCGGAUUCAUUGGGUUUAAAGGGUGCGCAGGUUGGAAUGUAAGUCAGUGGUGAAAUACUGCCGCUUAACGGUAGAACUGCCAUUGAUACUGCGUUUCUUGAGUAUGGUUGAGGUAGGUGGAAUGUGUUGUGUAGCGGUGAAAUGCAUAGAUAUGACACAGAACGCCGAUUGCGAAGGCAGCUUACUAAGCCAUUACUGACGCUGAGGCACGAAAGCGUGGGGAUCGAACAGGAUUAGAUACCCUGGUAGUCCACGCCGUAAACGAUGAUCACUCGCUGUUUGCGAUAUACAGCAAGCGGCUGAGCGAAAGCAUUAAGUGAUCCACCUGGGGAGUACGAUCGCAAGGUUGAAACUCAAAGGAAUUGACGGGGGCCCGCACAAGCGGAGGAACAUGUGGUUUAAUUCGAUGAUACGCGAGGAACCUUACCUGGGCUAGAAUGCUGGGAGACCGUAGGUGAAAGCCUACUUUGUAGCAAUACACUGCC
RNAcentral lists this ribosomal RNA (974 nucleotides) under uncultured bacterium. Its description in RNAcentral is "bacterial SSU rRNA". It matches the Rfam family "Bacterial small subunit ribosomal RNA", at positions 54 to 1031 of the family's 1533-position model. The record is from RNAcentral.